UAACAUUUUUAUCUUAUAAUAUGGGACAUUAAUUACAUGAAAUUUAACUCUUAACAAAAACAAAUCUGUGGAAAACAAGACAUCCAUCAAUAUUCUUGGGUAUCAUGUUGGUAAUGGCGUCAUCAAACCAGAUGAAGAAAGACUUAAACCUCUACAGGAAUUUCCUCCUCCCACCAAUGUGCGUUCUCUAAGA
Molecule: long non-coding RNA, 193 nt
Organism: Gigantopelta aegis
Lineage: Eukaryota; Metazoa; Mollusca; Gastropoda; Neomphalida; Peltospiridae
Exons: 3
Source: RefSeq, a predicted model, not a curated record